RNAcentral lists this ribosomal RNA (488 nucleotides) under uncultured bacterium. Its description in RNAcentral is "partial 16S ribosomal RNA". It matches the Rfam family "Bacterial small subunit ribosomal RNA", at positions 28 to 507 of the family's 1533-position model. The record is from RNAcentral.
GACGAACGCUGGCGGCGUGCUUAACACAUGCAAGUCGAACGGAAAGGCCCUGCUUUUGUGGGGUGCUCGAGUGGCGAACGGGUGAGUAACACGUGAGUAACCUGCCCUUGACUUUGGGAUAACUUCAGGAAACUGGGGCUAAUACCGGAUAGGAGCUCCUGCUGCAUGGUGGGGGUUGGAAAGUUUCGGCGGUUGGGGAUGGACUCGCGGCUUAUCAGCUUGUUGGUGGGGUAGUGGCUUACCAAGGCUUUGACGGGUAGCCGGCCUGAGAGGGUGACCGGCCACAUUGGGACUGAGAUACGGCCCAGACUCCUACGGGAGGCAGCAGUGGGGAAUAUUGCACAAUGGGCGGAAGCCUGAAGGAGCAACGCCGCGUGAGUGAUGAAGGUCUUCGGAUCGUAAAACUCUGUUAUUAGGGAAGAACAAAUGUGUAAGUAACUAUGCACGUCUUGACGGUACCUAAUCAGAAAGCCACGGCUAACUACGUG